UACGUAGGGUGCAAGCGUUAAUCGGAAUUACUGGGCGUAAGCGUGCGCAGGCGGUUUUGUAAGUCUGUCGUGAAAGCCCCGGGCUCAACCUGGGAAUUGCGAUGGAGACUGCAAGGCUUGAAUCUGGCAGAGGGGGGUAGAAUUCCACGUGUAGCAGUGAAAUGCGUAGAGAUGUGGAGGAACACCGAUGGCGAAGGCAGCCCCCUGGGUCAAGAUUGACGCUCAUGCACGAAAGUGUGGGGAGCAAACAGG
This 252-nucleotide ribosomal RNA is filed under the name uncultured bacterium. RNAcentral describes it as "partial 16S ribosomal RNA". It matches the Rfam family "Bacterial small subunit ribosomal RNA", at positions 524 to 776 of the family's 1533-position model. The record is from RNAcentral.